AGUCGGUUUAAGGAUACGUUCGUUGGGUAGGGGAGCGUUCUGUAAGCCUGUGAAGGUGGCCUGUGAGGGUUGCUGGAGGUAUCAGAAGUGCGAAUGCUGACAUAAGUAACGAUAAAGCGGGUGAAAAGCCCGCUCGCCGGAAGACCAAGGGUUCCUGUCCAACGUUAAUCGGGGCAGGGUGAGUCGACCCCUAAGGCGAGGCCGAAAGGCGUAGUCGAUGGGAAACGGGUUAAUAUUCCCGUACUUGGUGUUACUGCGAAGGGGGGACGGAGAAGGCUAUGUUGGCCGGGCGACGGUUGUCCCGGUUUAAGCGUGUAGGUGUGUGUUCCAGGUAAAUCCGGUUCACUUUAACACUGAGGCGUGAUGACGAGGCACUACGGUGCUGAAGCAACAAAUGCCCUGCUUCCAGGAAAAGCCUCUAAGCAUCAGGUAACAUCAAAUCGUACCCCAAACCGACACAGGUGGUCAGGUAGAGAAUACCAAGGCGCUUGAGAGAACUCGGGUGAAGGAACUAGGCAAAAUGGUGCCGUAACUUCGGGAGAAGGCACGCUGACAUGUAGGUGAAGUGAUUUACUCAUGGAGCUGAAGUCAGUCGAAGAUACCAGCUGGCUGCAACUGUUUAUUAAAAACACAGCACUGUGCAAACACGAAAGUGGACGUAUACGGUGUGACGCCUGCCCGGUGCCGGAAGGUUAAUUGAUGGGGUCAGCGCAAGCGAAGCUCCUGAUCGAAGCCCCGGUAAACGGCGGCCGUAACUAUAACGGUCCUAAGGUAGCGAAAUUCCUUGUCGGGUAAGUUCCGACCUGCACGAAUGGCGUAAUGAUGGCCAGGCUGUCUCCACCCGAGACUCAGUGAAAUUGAACUCGCUGUGAAGAUGCAGUGUACCCGCGGCAAGACGGAAAGACCCCGUGAACCUUUACUAUAGCUUGACACUGAACAUUGAGCCUUGAUGUGUAG
Molecule: ribosomal RNA, 957 nt
Filed under: Salmonella enterica
Lineage: Bacteria; Pseudomonadati; Pseudomonadota; Gammaproteobacteria; Enterobacterales; Enterobacteriaceae
Description: partial 23S ribosomal RNA
Rfam family: Bacterial large subunit ribosomal RNA
Source: RNAcentral